CCUACGGGUGGCAGCAGUGAGGAAUAUUGGUCAAUGGUCGGGAGACUGAACCAGCCAAGCCGCGUGAGGGAGGAAGGUACAGAGUAUCGUAAACCUCUUUUGUCAGGGAACAAAGGCGGGGACGUGUCCCCGGAUGAGUGUACCUGAAGAAAAAGCAUCGGCUAACUCCGUGCCAGCAGCCGCGGUAAUACGGAGGAUGCGAGCGUUAUCCGGAUUUAUUGGGUGUAAAGGGUGCGCAGGCGGGCUGUUAAGUCAGCGGUGAAAGCCCCGGGCUCAACCCCCGACCCGCCGUUGAAACUGGCAGUCUCGAGUUGGAGAGAGGUAUGCGGAAUGCGCGGUGUAGCGGUGAAAUGCAUAGAUAUCGCGCAGAACUCCGAUUGCGAAGGCAGCAUGCCGGCUCCACACUGACGCUGAGGCACGAAAGCGUGGGUAUCGAACAGGAUUAGAUACCCUAGUAGUC
RNAcentral lists this ribosomal RNA (460 nucleotides) under uncultured bacterium. RNAcentral describes it as "partial 16S ribosomal RNA". It matches the Rfam family "Bacterial small subunit ribosomal RNA", at positions 338 to 795 of the family's 1533-position model. The record is from RNAcentral.